UACGUAGGGUCCGAGCGUUUGUCCGGAAUUAUUGGGCGUAAAGGGCUCGUAGGCGGUUUGUCGCGUCGGGAGUGAAAACUCAGGGCUCAACCCUGAGCGUGCUUCCGAUACGGGCAGACUAGAGGUAUGCAGGGGAGAACGGAAUUCCUGGUGUAGCGGUGAAAUGACGCAGAUAUCAGGAGGAACACCGGUGGCGAAGGCGGGUCUCUGGGCAGUAACUGACGCUGGAGGAGCGAAAGCGUGGGGAGCGAACAGG
RNAcentral lists this ribosomal RNA (256 nucleotides) under uncultured bacterium. Its description in RNAcentral is "partial 16S ribosomal RNA". It matches the Rfam family "Bacterial small subunit ribosomal RNA", at positions 524 to 776 of the family's 1533-position model. The record is from RNAcentral.